Mus musculus (house mouse) is the source of this 3207-nucleotide long non-coding RNA. RefSeq annotates it as predicted gene, 53759. Lineage: Eukaryota; Metazoa; Chordata; Mammalia; Rodentia; Muridae. The transcript has 2 exons. The record is from RefSeq and is a predicted model, not a curated record.
UAUGCAUAUAUAUGUAUACAUAUACAUAUACACAUAUAUUAUAUUUUUACGUGUUUGUGUAUCAGUGAGAACAUUAAGUGGGAGGGCUGAGCCUCUGCCAUCCAUAUCCUGGAUGCUAACUGAAGGUAUUUCCCCUUUUGUUUGGUGGCGGCCAGGUAUUUGUAUAUUCUAGAGGAUUUGCCCUAGAACCUGACUCAUUUCUGUAGAAACACUCACUCAAGGCUGCUCUAUUAUCCCCCACAUUACUCCCAGAUUCAAUGAGCUAGGUUCGACACCAAGAUUUUAGGUUGACAGGCACAUUGAAUAGCUAUUAUAAGGGCUAAAGACAUCCCAGAGAGUUAAGCCCUGAAUGUGCAGCAUUUGUAAUUCUCACAAUUAUGGGCAUUCUGGUGAGGAAAUCACACUCAGGCAGGAUUCAUUCAAAGAUGCAGCAUCUUUCCUGGGACGGAACUAUCUCCUGAGUGUUUCAGUGCUGCCCUACAGAGGGAACUGCUUACACUCCCAGAAGCACUUACUUCCACCACCAAGGCCCUGACUGCCCAGGGGACACUGCAUUGCAAGCAGUAACCUUUAUUGAACUGGCUACUUAGACCAAUGUGGACUGUCCCAGGGCAUCAAGUUCACUGAAGCAUAAUUUAGAGAAGUUGUCACACUUUUAACACAAGCUUCAUCAACUUCAGAUGAAAUUUAGCUACUUAAUCAAACACUGGCCAAGAUCUAGAAACUUCCAUGACUUCUCUUCUCUCCUAAAAUGUCUCAUCUCCCCAAAUCUCCCCUCCCCCACUGAUUCCCAUUUGAACUCCUUACAUGUUCCCUUCCAGAGGGCCCCUGUUUACCACCUUGAAUUCUGCUCUGUGGACAUCUUCUACCUUACUGUCCCAGCCUCUCCUUUAAGGGUGUGAAUUUUAAUAUUGACUUUUGUAAGUUAACCAGGCUGAAUUGCUGACACUACAGUGGCACACAAGUAGUAGUUUCUGGUGAUGUAGUCCUCUAGGGAAUGUGUAUCUUAGUACCCUUGCUCUGUAGAAAGUGUGAUAAAUUUCUGUCUCAGUCAGGGUUCCUAUUGCCGUGAUAAAAACAUAAUGACGAAUAGAAACCUGGGGAGGAAAGGGUUAACUUUGCUUGUCCUUCCACAUCACUGUUCAUCACAUGGGAAGUCAGGACAGGAACCCGUGUAGUGCAGGAACCUCAUGGUGAAGCUGAUGUAGAGGCUGUGGACCAGUGCUGCUUACUGGCUUGCUCUUUCCCUGUAGACCCACAGUAGAAUGAGCACUGAUAAUCAUUCAAGAGGAUCAAUAUUAGGCUGUCUUGAAAUCUCCUCUUCCAGGGAUAUUAGUUCAAAACUUUCCAGGUUUGGCCUUAGGAAUAUUCUUAGACAAGGGGGAAAGUGCUUACCCCCUUUGCCACAAUAUCACAAGAAUGGUCUCUACCCAGCUCCUAAUUUCAUUCUUCUUUGAAAUCUCUUGAACUGUGUCUCCAUCAUCUUCAUUGCUCUCAGCACUUCUGUCUUCCAAACUCCUAUUGCAAUGGCCCCUUACCCUGCUUAAAGCAUUCAAGAGGUUUCCUAAGCUAACAUCUCAAAGUCUUCCACAUUCCUCCCAAGACAGCCCCUUCAGGACUGUCAAAACUAUUCCUACACUUACUUUGUGAAUCAACUUUUCUUAUUUUUUUUAAUGUGCAUGUAUGUGCAUUUUCACAGAGAUCAGAGAGAUGUCAGUUCCAUGAAGCUGGAGUUUGAGGCAGUUUUGAGCAGCCUGAAGUGGGUGCUGGUAAUUGACAUCACAUCGUGUGCAAGAGGAACCCUAAUAUGUGCUUUUAGCCACUGAGCCCUUCAGUCCAUUUUUUUUUUUCUGAUUCUUGUACCUGUUUUCUACAAAAAUGGUUUUCCUUGGGGGCUGGAGAGAGAGAAAGUGUGUAAGAAGACUUGCUCAUCUGGGGGCUCUGAGCUGAGUUCUCAGCACCUGUUGUUGGCAUUUCCUCUGGGCUCUGCCCCACAGUCACCUGGUGUGCCUGACUCACUGUAGAAGGGGCUGCUUGGCACCUCCUCUCCCUCUCUUGCUGUCCUGCUCUUGCUCCCUUACCCUCUUCCCCCUCACUCCUCAUUCCCCUCCCACUUCUCUCUCCAUUUGCUUCUGGACAGCCUCUACUCCCCCCACCCCCUCACCCACUAUCCCCCACUCUCUGCUUUUCUCUCAAGUCCCCUCCCCAUGCCCUGAAUAAACUCUGUUCUAUACUAUACCAUCCUGUGGCUGGACCCUCAGGGGGAAGGAAUGCCUUAGCAUGGGACAGCAGAGGCAUCCCCUUCCCCCAAACCUGACUACCAAUCCACCAAACAUAUUCCUCCCCUCUUUAUCGUUUUAUAAAACACCUGUGGUAGGCAUCUCAAAACAGCCUGGAACUUGUGCCUCAGGGAUCUAACAUCCAUGUUUGUCCCCUUCAGACACUGGCACACAUGUAGUCAUACACACUUGUACUUGGAUGGAAAAAUGUUAAAGCUGAAGUAUUUUUCUGUGUCAUCCAUACAUUGUACAUACAUGGUACAAUCUUAUUUUCCAGUUACCAUUGUUUGGUUGGUUGCGGUUAUUGUUUUGUAUGAUUUUUAGGCAGUGCUUUGCAAUGUAGCCCAGGCUAUCUUGGGAAUUGAGAUCAUCCUAUGUUAGCCUUAUGUAUACUGAAAUGUUCAGUGUGAGUCCCAAUGCCCAGGUUGGGUUAUUUUGGUUGUUGUUGUUGCUGUUGUUGUUGUUGUUGCUGCUGUUGUUGUUUUAACCGAGAAAACUUUAUAAUAAGGUUACAAACAGUCAAAGAUUUUACUCUUAUUAUUUUGGCUCCUAAUUAGAAAGAAGGAAAGAAAGAAAGGAAGGAAGAAAGAAAGAAAGAAAGAAAGAAAGAAAGAAAGAAAGAAAGAAAGAAAGAAAGAUCUGUUCCUGCUAGCUAUCAGGCUGAGGCUGACUGGGAAAGCCUGAAGACUGAAACUAUCAGGCCACAACACCAUUCAAAGAGCCACCUCAAGCAAGACAGCCACACCAACAAACCAUCUUUAUUUUUUUCAUUAUUCUCUGACAUCAGUGAGGGUUUUGAAGUACCCUCAUUCUCUGAAGUACAAAGAACCAGUGCAUCUUGGUACUUUUUCUCCUGGGUAAUUCUUAUAAGCUUUGAGUUAAACUGGUAGAGAUGUCAUCUCCUAAAUUCAAAUAUCACUUCUCAUAA